AGGGAAUCUUCCACAAUGGACGAAAGUCUGAUGGAGCAACGCCGCGUGAGUGAUGAAGGGUUUCGGCUCGUAAAACUCUGUUGUUGGAGAAGAACAGGUGUCAGAGUAACUGUUGACAUCUUGACGGUAUCCAACCAGAAAGCCACGGCUAACUACGUGCCAGCAGCCGCGGUAAUACGUAGGUGGCAAGCGUUGUCCGGAUUUAUUGGGCGUAAAGCGAGCGCAGGCGGUUUCUUAGGUCUGAUGUGAAAGCCUUCGGCUUAACCGGAGAAGUGCAUCGGAAACCAGGAGACUUGAGUGCAGAAGAGGACAGUGGAACUCCAUGUGUAGCGGUGAAAUGCGUAGAUAUAUGGAAGAACACCAGUGGCGAAGGCGGCUGUCUGGUCUGUAACUGACGCUGAGGCUCGAAAGCAUGGGUAGCGAACAGGAUUAGAUACCCUUGGUAGUCCAUGCCGUAAACGAUGAGUGCUAAGUGUUGGAGGG
Molecule: ribosomal RNA, 483 nt
Filed under: uncultured bacterium
Lineage: Bacteria
Description: partial 16S ribosomal RNA
Rfam family: Bacterial small subunit ribosomal RNA
Source: RNAcentral